Molecule: RNA transcript, 5328 nt
Organism: Megalobrama amblycephala (Wuchang bream)
Lineage: Eukaryota; Metazoa; Chordata; Actinopteri; Cypriniformes; Xenocyprididae
Gene name: carcinoembryonic antigen-related cell adhesion molecule 1-like
Exons: 8
Source: RefSeq, a predicted model, not a curated record
UGUGCGAAUAUAAAACCAACUUUACUUUUUCUUUCUGGUGUCAAACCGAAACCCUAGGAUCUGGAUUAUUUUUUUUAUUAUUAUUUAAUUGUGUUUAUGUGAAAAUGAGGUUUCCAAUAAUUUUGGUCUCGGUGUUAUUGUUUGUACUCAACCCAGCUGAAAUCAAUGGAGAUCACAGUUAUAUCUGUACAGAUGUUCAGUGUAAAGAUGGUGAUGAGAGAUUCAGAGACAGACUGAAGCUGGAUCAUCAGACUGGAUCUCUGACCAUCAUGAACAUCACAAACACAGACUCUGGAGAAUAUACACUAAAACACAUCAACAACUUCAUCAGAGAAAAGAUCUACAAUGUUACUGUCCGUGGUAUUUCUGAUGAUGAUAUUGUUGAUGUGUCAGUGACGGAGGGAGAUCCAGUCACACUAUACACUUAUGUUCACAAACAUGAACAAGAGGUUUUUAAAUGGUAUUUUAAUAAAACUCGCAUAGCUGAAAUCGAUGGAGAUCACAGUGACAACUGUACAGAUGUUCAGUGUAAAAAUGGUGAUGAGAGAUUCAGAGACAGACUGAAGCUGGAUCAUCAGACUGGAUCUCUGACCAUCAUGAACAUCACAAACACAGACUCUGGAGAAUAUACACUAAAACACAUCAACAACUUCAUCAGAGAAAAGAUCUACAAUGUUUCUGUCCGUGGUUUUCCUGAACCAGAUAAAAAGUCAGUGAAGGAGGGAGAAUCUCUCACUUUAGGUCCUGAUGAAAAAAGAAACCGAAGUGAUGAGAUGAGAUGGUAUUUUAAUGAUACUCUCAUCACUGAAAUCACUGGAGAUCAGAGUAAGAUCUGUACAGAUGUUCAGUGUGAUGAGAGAUUCAGAGACAGACUGAAGCUGGCCAAUCAGACUGGAUCUCUGACCAUCAUGAACACCAGAAUCACAGACUCUGGAGAAUAUAAACUGAAGAUCAGCAGCAUCAGUCCUCGUCGCAUCAACAGUGGCGUGAUUAAGAACAGCUUCAGAGUUACUGUUAUUCCAGAUUCAGGUCUGUCUUCAGGUGCUGUAGCAGGAAUAGUUGUUGCUGUUCUUGCUGUUCUGCUCGUUGCUGCUGCUGCUGUGAUUUUCUAUCACAAACAUCAAGAAAGAGGAGAAUACGGCAGGACGCAGCGCAGUGAUCCGGUGGAUCGGGAGGAUUCUGUGUAACACUAUCGAUGGGAUGUCCUCUAAUCAACUGAAGCUGUCAGUGAGAUGUCAAUAUAACAUCAUUUAAUACAUUGACACUUUCAUUGAAAGGGCAGUGAAGAGGCAGAGGAAAAUGAGAGAAAAACAUCAGCUGAAAUUCACAGAGAAAUAUUGUUAUGAUACCAACAUUUCAUUAUUCAGUAGCAAUACAAGUCAAAGUUUACCUCCAAACUAAUUUCAACACCACAACAACUAAUUUGAUAUUCAUUAUUACUCAUUUACAUUAUAAAUCAUGUUGCCUAAACAUUUUUAAAUUAUAUUAACAUUUCUUAAAGCUGCAGUAGGGAGUUUUUAGAAAACGUUGACUUAGCCUGAAAAUUUGAACAAGCACAACUCACAGGUCACUCCCCCUUGCUCUCUGCUGUGCUACAGCCCUCCCUCCACAGCUCCUCCCCCAUCACAUCGGAGCCUGCCGUGAACGCGCAGGCUAGUAAGCAAGCAGGGCCACCGAUGACGGCGGAUAAACAGUUAUGGCACAUUCACUGGUACAGAUGAAACAUCAACAAUAUGAUUUACAUUGACUAUGGCCUGCCCAUACUUUGACUACAAACUUGGUCCUCAAAACAUUACGUAACAUUGUAUGUUAUGCGGCUAGAGUUUUGACACUGAGUCAAUGGGCUCCGACGAGGAAUUCACACCCACAGCGACUUCAAGGAGUCAACGGGCGGGGAGAAGAGGAAGCCGUGGUUUUCAGGGAGCAUCAGGCAGGGGACGUGGGAGACGGGGCAGAGGUCGCCGAAUGGGUCCAAUUCCCGAGCACAUCAGCAGAGAGGACAUGGCGCGUGUGGAGAAUUUGAGAUUAGAGAGGAUUGCUUAUGAACGUGUAAUCAAGCAGGGAUACUUACUUGUCAAGCAGAAAUGUGGCUGACUCUGCAUCGGUUUUUAAUCCCUUCAGGACACGUAGCUCCCUCCACCUCGGAAAAGCCGAGGAUUGUUUGAUUGGAUUGUUUGUCCUGCAUGAGCAAAGCUGCGGCACACUGGUAAUCUUGAAUUUGAACGCCUGUAUGCGCUGGCGCUGUGCAUGAGAGAGGUGUGAUCAGCACGCACGCGAGCUUGAUUGACACUGCUAAGACACUCCUCCUGGCUCUGAUUGGUUGUUUCUUAACGGUAGCGGUGUAUUUCUGCAAAUGGCAAUAGGACCACUGGGAGGAGCCAGAGGAGCUUGAUUUUUUCACAGAUUAUCUGUCUCAUAUUCUACUGUCAGGACAUAAUGACAGGUUUAACAAAUAUGUAAAAAAUACAUUUUUCAAAAGUUACCUACUGCAGCUUUAAAGCAUAUCAGUAAUGAGGAAAAAUGAAGCGCUCUAUAAGCAAUAGUUCUAGACUUUUUCAGAGCAGAUGUUGGGAAACUGUUUUACAUGGAUUUGCGAAAGUGACUAAAAACAUAUUUUGCUGCCAGGCCAGUAAUUGGUGAUGGCAGUGGCGAGCGGUGAUUUUUUUUUUUAAACCAGUUAUGCUGGGUGGCACGUGAUGUCAAAAAUGCACCAGGUGGAACCGUGUUCGCUCAUGUUCGCUUUAGACAGUGUUAGCUUUUCAGUUCUUUACUCUCAUGACACAUAGUAACAAAACUAAAGUUCUUAAUGUUUGAACUUUUAUGGAAAGUAGCCUACAUUCACCUGUUGAUACCUUCACAAGCACCUGUAAAAGCAGUUUGCAAAAUGUUUUAUUUUUGUAAUUCAGUUUGGUGACACCAAUGUCACAGAAACUACAUGCUUAACUUUUAAGAGCAUCAUCUGAGGAGACACAUCAUUUUUAAAAAUAAGUAUUUAAGAAUUUAAAAAUAAGUAUAAUAUUAGUAAGCUAUUAUAAAGUAUUAGUAAAAUAAAUAAGUAUUAUAAAAAAUAAGUAUUCUUUAAAAAAAAAGUUGAAAUACAAAUUGAUGAUAGUUACAGUAGGUCUGUAUUUAACAAGUUGAUAUGUUUUUCAUUAAAAGUAAAAUUCCCUAUGUAUAUAUAUAUAUAUAUAUAUAUAUAUAUAUAUAUAUAUAUAUAUAUAUAUAUAAUGAAAAUAGUUUCACUCAUGACUUUGUUUUUUUUUUACUUGAUUUAGUCUAUUUAGUUUUGUAUCAAAUACAAUGUGAUUUUCGUUGAUCAAGAUCUGAAAGUAAAGCACAUUGUCCUUCUUGGCACUCUCUAGCACUGGAAUGGUUUUAUAUCUAUUUAAUGUGUAAACUAGCAAGGCAAAACACGUGAAAAUGAUAACCUUUCACUCAUGCGUGCCGAACCUUGGGGCUUGGUCAACAACGAUCCGUUUAACCACUACCGGAAUUAUUAUUAUUAUUUUGUGUUUUUGGUUUAUUUUUUUGUAUUUUUUAUGCUCCCUUUCUUCAUUGUCCUCAAUGUUGUUAGUACGUGUACUGUUACUCAUCUUCCAUCUUAAGGACCAUGUCACGAAGAUACUCCGUGACCAUGUGCGGACUAUGGGGCACGUUCCUUCAUUUCACAUGUACAUGCACACUUUUUACAUUUACACUGACCGGGGAUUUUGGGAAGAGAUAUGUUGGGGGCAAAAUAUCUGAAGUUGUGUAAAUAUAUAGUUAUUUGUGGUGGAUGUAUGUUGUCUGUAUUAUGGUAUCUUCCAUAGGUGGGGCCAGGAUGUUAAGAUGGCCACCGGAAAGGUUCAGUGAGGGGUGUGGUAAAUUGGCGUGAGCGUGGUCGGAGUACCGCCACUUUUUAUACUGUUUGGUGUCCUUUGUUUGUAUAAUUUAUUAUUUAUUUUUGGGUAACACUGCUUAUUUUUUUUUCUUUUUGCAUCUUGGGAUUUAUUUUUUUUGUGAAAUAAAUUUUUUGGGCGUCAAAUGGAAAUUCUGUUGUCUUUGUCACCUUAACCGCAAGGUUCAUCCACGACAGACCACAAUGGAAAUAUGCCUAUGGGCUUUUUGUGUUUUUAUCCUUUUGAACACUUCGUGUUGAUUGUUGUUGUUCAGUAAAUUAUUCAAUCAAUCAAUCACUCAAUCAAUUUAUAGUAAUUUAGUGUUCAAGUUAAUUAGCAAGUCCACAAGUCAUUUCAUUUAAAUGAGUGGCCAAAAUGCACAAAGUUUUAGUUUUUAGUUGAAAACAGUGUUGUGGAAACGGCCCCUUAUACUACAAAAAGGCAUAGAAUAGUGAAAAAGUAUUGUUUGUUUGAUGCUAAAUAUAUGAAUGAAAAGAAAGAUUGUUUGAAUUAUUCAAAUAUUCUAGUGUUUACAAAGAUACUCUUACCGUUUUAUUUUAUGAGAAAGAACAGUGGGAUUAAUAUAAUAUAUUCAUUUAUCAUAGCUGUUAUGACCCUGGUCUAUGGUCAGGGUGUAACAUUAAUAGAGGCUGUGAAAAUAAAUAUAACAAAUAUAUUAGAAUAAUUUCAGAGAACAUGUUGCUAUGGCUAUUUGCAUACACUGAAAGCUAUCUCAGUUUUUGUAUCCGAAAGUUCUAAAUCUGAGUAUGUCGCAUAUCCUGCUUUCUGGAAAACUCCACUGCGCUUCACAGUGAAGCAUGUACACAAAUAUCUAUUUUUUUUUUCAAGACAGCUGUGAGUCAAAUAAGUAUUCAGUUAUAGAAUUAAGUCUGUACUACUGAUACUGUAUGUUGUUACUGGUAUUGUUCCUGCUGGAAAAUACUGAUAUUAUUAUAUUGCUAAUGUGCCUAGGCCUUUUAACUAUUUUAACCAGCAAGGUGCCUUUUGUCAACCAUCUUCAUCAAGAAAAAAAGAAAAGGAAAAAAACAACAACUAUGAACUGUUGUAAAGUUGUUACUCUAGUGUUAAGCUAAUGAAAAUACUUAAUUGAUUGUCAGGAGAAAUGUUACAGCACGAUUUCCACACUAACUGAUGAAACACUAGUCAAACAUAACAUUUAGUCAAACAUGUUUGUGAACAAAACAUUUGUGAUAUUUAAGUGUUGAUUGUUUAUUUCUUUCAUUCACACCAUUUCUGAGAUGGAAGAUAAGAACCUUUGGGGUUUUAUGUUCAGACACAUUCUUUUAUUGUUGUUAUUAGUUUAUUGAUUUUGUCACUUUAUUGUUAGCAUUAGUAUUACUGUUAGUAUUAUCUUAAAAGUUUGGACUGUAUAUCCAUGCCUGCAUGUAUUAUCUUCCCUGCACAUAUUAAAAUGAUUAACCUAACUACA